This 1445-nucleotide ribosomal RNA is filed under the name uncultured Bordetella sp. RNAcentral's name for it is "partial 16S-23S ribosomal RNA intergenic spacer". It matches the Rfam family "Bacterial small subunit ribosomal RNA". Lineage: Bacteria; Pseudomonadati; Pseudomonadota; Betaproteobacteria; Burkholderiales; Alcaligenaceae. The record is from RNAcentral.
GUUCUGAUUAUGUCUCAGAUUGAACGCUGGUGGAUGCCGUACAUGCAAGUCGAACGGCAGCACGGACUUCGGUCUAUGGCGGAGGGCGAACGGGUGAGUAAUGAAUGGAACGUGCCUAGUAGCGGGGGAUAACUACGCGAAAGCGGUAGCUAAUACCGCACAUUCUCGGGUGUUGGGGACCUUCGGCCUGCACUAUUAGAGCUGGCUGAUAUCGGAUUAGCUAGUUGGUGGGGUAACGGCUCACCAAGGCGCGACGAUCCGUAGCUGUCGAGGAGACUUAAUUGUCACACUGGGACCGAGACACGGCCUGACUCCACGGAAAGGCAGCAGUGGGAAUUUUGAUAAUGGGGGAAACCCUGAUCCAGCCAUCCCGCGUGUGCGAUGAAGGCCUUCGGCCAGUAAAGCACUUUUGGCAGGAAAAAGAAACGGCACGGGAUAAUACCCCGUGCGACUGAUUGCGGCCUGCAGAACAGCGCACCGGCCAACUACGUGCCAGCAGCCGCGGUAAUACGUAGGUGCAAGCGUUAAUCGGAAUUACUGGGCGCUGCAGUAUGUUCAAAAGAAAGAUGAAAUCCCAGAGCUUAACUUUGGAACUGCAUUUUAACUACCGAGCUAGAGGCAUGAGGGAGGUGAAUCCGCGUGUAGCAGUGAAAUGCGUAGAUAUGCGGAGGAACACCGAUGGCGAAGGCAGCCUCCCCAAGAUAGCACCUGACGUGCUCAUGCACGAAAGGCGGGGAGCAAACAGGAUUAGAUACCCUGGUAGUCCACACGCCCUAAACGAUGUCAACUAGCUGUUGGGGCCUUCGGGUUUUGGUAGCAGCUAACGCGUGAAGUUGACCGCCUUGGGGAGUACGGUCGCAAGAUUAAAACUCAAAGGAACGACGGGACCGCACGCGGUGGAUGAUGUGGAUUAAUUUGAUGCAACAAGAAAAAACCUCCACCCUUGACAUGUCUGGAAUCCCGAAGAGAUUUGGGGAGUGCUCGCAAGAGAACCGGAACACAGGUGCUGCAUGGCUGUCGCCGCUGUGUCGAGAUGUUGGGUUAAGCCCGCAAUCGAGCGCAGUCCUGGUCAUUACGAGCAUGAAAGGGCGUUCCAACGAGACUGCCGGUGACAAACCGGAGGAAGGUGGGGAUGACGUCAAGUCCUCGGCCCUUAUGGGUAGGGCUUCACACGUCAUACAAUGGUCGGGACAGAGGGUCGCCAACCCGCGAGGGGAGCCAAUCCCAGAAACUCGAUCAAACUGGAUCGCAGUCUGCAACCGACCUGCGUGAAGUCGGAAUCGCUAGUAAUCGAUCAGCAUGUCGCGGUGAAUACGUUCCUGGAACGGUACACACCGCCCGUCACACUCAUGGGAGUGGGUUUUACCAGAAGUAGUUAGCCUAACCGUAAGGAGUGGCGAUUACCACGGUAGGAUUCAUGACUGGGUGAAGUCGUAACAAGGUAG